This 257-nucleotide ribosomal RNA is filed under the name uncultured Pseudomonas sp. RNAcentral's name for it is "partial 16S ribosomal RNA". It matches the Rfam family "Bacterial small subunit ribosomal RNA", at positions 96 to 354 of the family's 1533-position model. The record is from RNAcentral. Lineage: Bacteria; Pseudomonadati; Pseudomonadota; Gammaproteobacteria; Pseudomonadales; Pseudomonadaceae.
CGGCGGACGGGUGAGUAAUGCCUAGGAAUCUGCCUGGUAGUGGGGGACAACGUUUCGAAAGGAACGCUAAUACCGCAUACGUCCUACGGGAGAAAGCAGGGGACCUUCGGGCCUUGCGCUAUCAGAUGAGCCUAGGUCGGAUUAGCUAGUUGGUGGGGUAAUGGCUCACCAAGGCGACGAUCCGUAACUGGUCUGAGAGGAUGAUCAGUCACACUGGAACUGAGACACGGUCCAGACUCCUACGGGAGGCAGCAGGU